CCAUUCUAGAGACGGUGGAGGGCAGAGAGAAAUGACAUGGAACUAACCUUAAGGAAUGCACUAUCUAGCCAGGAGACAGACAUACAGCCAAAUAUGUAAGACAGUGGGAUAACUCUAGCGGAACAGUUGUGUGCUGGAACCAGCUAGCCAGAGCCCAUCUCUGUAGUGAGUGUGCAUCUCUUCCCAAGUCUGCUUUUAGCAUCUUCACAUUCAUGGCUUGAAGGUGGCCAUGGUGGGAGUAUUUACACCACAGAAAUCAGCAAAUGCUAUGCAUCAGGGCCCUAGGAAGGCCAAUUAUGAAACACCAGCAUAUGACUGGAUAGAAGGUGUCAGAGAAAAGACGGAGUUUCGCUCUUGAACCUGGGAGGCGGACGUUUUUAAAAACAGCUGCCUGGAGAAGCGGCCGGACGCAGGGGAAGGCUGCGCUGCCGGAAAGGGUUAACCCCGCGGGCGCCGACAUCUGGCAGGAGCGAGGGCGUUGGCAGAGCCCGGUCCGCCCGUACCAGUCUGUACAGGGGAGCUGUCCCGCCUGCUGAUUUAUCAUUCCCUAAUGUCACGGGGAUGGGAUGUUGAAAUUGUGGCUAGAAUGUGAAAUACGAAAAACACGAAGAUUAUGAUUUAGCGUCUGGGGAAGAUCAGCGUUAGCCUGCAGAACAGCUUGUAAACGGGAGGCAUCCUUGGCCCUCGCUUGUGGUUUUUGACUCCAACACUCAAGCUGGGGAUCUGGGCGGGCAGAGCGUUCUUGGGUUAGAGCAGACAGGCAAAAGUGGAAUUAAUAAGAGCAAAACCACUUCUGUGCUGCUAUGGGGAUAGUGCGGGCGAGCGCCAGGAGGACCAAAGUAAAUUUUAAUUAAACAGAGACCUGAUGUUGAAGGAUAAAUAAAACAACGUGGGGUGUAAACAGCUUAAAUCAGGGAUUCAAAUGACACCUGCGGGUGUCUAGACAUGAGGUGCAUCCUGAUAAUUUAUAGUCUCGGAGAAGAUGCAGAUGAGUAGGAUAAUAUCUGCAAAUUUUGCUCCUUAAAAGAAGUAAUAGCUUGAAUUUUAAGGAGGUACUAAAUAAGGGAACUAAGUGGGAGAAUGAUUUUAACAGUUAUCCGUGGAGGAAAAGGGGUUAGCAAAGAAACAC
RNAcentral lists this long non-coding RNA (1129 nucleotides) under Pan troglodytes (chimpanzee). RNAcentral's name for it is "lncRNA (ENSPTRG00000053930.1)". Lineage: Eukaryota; Metazoa; Chordata; Mammalia; Primates; Hominidae. The record is from RNAcentral.